ACAGCUCAAAUUUGAAAUCUGGCGUCUUCGGNNNNGAGNUGUAAUUUGCAGAGGGCGCUUUGGCAUUGNCAGCGGUCCAAGUUCCUUGGAACAGGACGUCACAGAGGGUGAGAAUCCCGUACGUGGUCGCUAGCCUUUACCGUGUAAAGCCCCUUCGACGAGUCGAGUUGUUUGGGAAUGCAGCUCUAAAUGGGAGGUAAAUUUCUUCUAAAGCUAAAUACUGGCCAGAGACCGAUAGCGCACAAGUAGAGUGAUCGAAAGAUGAAAAGCACUUUGGAAAGAGAGUUAAAAAGCACGUGAAAUUGUUGAAAGGGAAGCGCUUGCAGCCAGACUUGCCUGUAGUUGCUCAUCCGGGUUUAUACCCGGUGCACUCUUCUACGGGCAGGCCAGCAUCAGUUUGGGCGGUUGGAUAAAGGUCUCUGUCAUGUACCUCCUCUCNNNNAGAACUUAUAGGGGAGACGACAUGCAACCNGCCCGGACUGAGGUCCGCGCAUCUGCUAGGAUGNUGGCGUAAUG
RNAcentral lists this ribosomal RNA (516 nucleotides) under soil fungal sp. DM033. RNAcentral describes it as "partial 28S rRNA". It matches the Rfam family "Eukaryotic large subunit ribosomal RNA", at positions 104 to 636 of the family's 3401-position model. Lineage: Eukaryota; Fungi. The record is from RNAcentral.